GGCCUGCCAGCUUAAUUGGCAGAGCUCCCCUCUAGCUAAGGGGAAGGUCCGGGUUCGAAUCCUGGGCGGGUCG
Colletotrichum gloeosporioides is the source of this 73-nucleotide non-coding RNA. NCBI's taxonomy places the organism in Eukaryota, Fungi, Ascomycota, Sordariomycetes, Glomerellales, Glomerellaceae. The record is from Rfam.